AAUAUUGCACAAUGGGCGCAAGCCUGAUGCAGUCCAUGCCGCGUGUAUGAAGAAGGCCUUCGGGUUGUAAAGUACUUUCAGCAGUGAGGAAGGUGGAUAUGUUAAUAGCAUAUUCAUUUGACGUUAGCUGCAGAAGAAGCACCGGCUAACUCCGUGCCAGCAGCCGCGGUAAUACGGAGGGUGCGAGCGUUAAUCGGAAUUACUGGGCGUAAAGCGCAUGCAGGUGGUUUGUUAAGUCAGAUGUGAAAGCCCGGGGCUCAACCUCGGAAUUGCAUUUGAAACUGGCAAACUAGAGUACUGUAGAGGGGGUAGAAUUUCAGGUGUAGCGGUGAAAUGCGUAGAGAUCUGAAGGAAUACCGGUGGCGAAGGCGGCCCCCUGGACAGAUACUGACACUCAGAUGCGAAAGCGUGGGGAGCAAACAGGAUUAGAUACCCUGGUAG
This 441-nucleotide ribosomal RNA is filed under the name uncultured bacterium. RNAcentral's name for it is "bacterial SSU rRNA". It matches the Rfam family "Bacterial small subunit ribosomal RNA", at positions 360 to 793 of the family's 1533-position model. The record is from RNAcentral.